GGGCUAAGAGGCGCCUUUGCUGACAGCGUGAUAAGACGUGCCUCUGCUGACAGCACGUCCACGCAGCAAUGAGCCUGCACACAAUCAAGAAUCAACACGCCCGGAAUUGAUGAAAGGAAGCGGCAUACAAACCAGCAGACCCGAGGAACAUUUGACAGAACGUCGCUAACUCUUCAUGACUCCUGUGCCUUCCGGGAUCGAGCUUUGUCAUUUGACACCCAUCCGUAUUACUGACUGCUCUCCUCGAUCCACGACCUCCCUGCUCGGACCCAGGCCACGCUGCCUCGCUCCUGCCCACGACCCCUUGCCUGUUCACGAACUGCCUCUUCGCUUUGCCCCUCUUGAUUCGACGAAAGAUUACAACCAACACUCACAGACAACAGCCCUUGGUAACAUUUACAUUAUUAAUACUACACAUAGUCACACUCAUUCACUUGGAGUAGCAUACACACGCCACAUAUUCAUCAAAGGUUUAAAAUAAACCUUGAAAAUCGCA
Molecule: long non-coding RNA, 496 nt
Organism: Nerophis ophidion (straightnose pipefish)
Lineage: Eukaryota; Metazoa; Chordata; Actinopteri; Syngnathiformes; Syngnathidae
Exons: 2
Source: RefSeq, a predicted model, not a curated record